RNAcentral lists this ribosomal RNA (492 nucleotides) under uncultured bacterium. RNAcentral describes it as "partial 16S ribosomal RNA". It matches the Rfam family "Bacterial small subunit ribosomal RNA", at positions 29 to 507 of the family's 1533-position model. The record is from RNAcentral.
AUUGAACGCUGGCGGCAUGCUUUACACAUGCAAGUCGAACGGUAACAGGCCUUCGGGUGCUGACGAGUGGCGAACGGGUGAGUAAUGCAUCGGAACGUACCCAGAGGUGGGGGAUAACGCAGCGAAAGCUGUGCUAAUACCGCAUGUGAUCUGAGGAUGAAAGCGGGGGACCGAGCAGCAAUGUUUGGCCUCGCGCCUUUGGAGCGGCCGAUGUCGGAUUAGCUAGUUGGUGGGGUAAAGGCCUACCAAGGCGACGAUCCGUAGCUGGCCUGAGAGGACGACCAGCCACACUGGGACUGAGACACGGCCCAGACUCCUACGGGAGGCAGCAGUGGGGAAUUUUGGACAAUGGGCGCAAGCCUGAUCCAGCAAUGCCGCGUGCGGGAAGAAGGCCUUCGGGUUGUAAACCGCUUUUGGCGGGAACGAAACGGUGUCCGCUAAUACCGGGCGCUAAUGACGGUACCUGCAGAAUAAGCACCGGCUAACUACGUG